This 204-nucleotide long non-coding RNA is filed under the name Strigops habroptila (Kakapo). Its description in RNAcentral is "lncRNA (ENSSHBG00005000916.1)". Lineage: Eukaryota; Metazoa; Chordata; Aves; Psittaciformes; Psittacidae. The record is from RNAcentral.
CACCUAUUGGCUGGUGGGACGCGAGGGCUUCACCAAACCCAUCCCCACCCCCCCCCGACCUCCUGCCUGGCGCCAGCAACCACGGGAUCAGCCUGGACGAGAUCCCGGCCGAGAGGAGGAAGAAGCUGGAGAAGGCUCGGCCAGGGCAGGUGCCCAAAUAGCCCAGGGCAUGACGGGACAGCAAACGCAACGCGCUGAUUGGUC